This 253-nucleotide ribosomal RNA is filed under the name uncultured bacterium. Its description in RNAcentral is "partial 16S ribosomal RNA". It matches the Rfam family "Bacterial small subunit ribosomal RNA", at positions 524 to 776 of the family's 1533-position model. The record is from RNAcentral.
UACGUAGGGGGCAAGCGUUGUCCGGAUUUAUUGGGCGUAAAGAGCGUGUAGGCGGCCAGGUAGGUCUGCUGUGAAAACUCGAGGCUCAACCUCGAGACGUCGGCGGAAACCAUCUGGCUAGAGUCCGGAAGAGGAGAGUGGAAUUCCUGGUGUAGCGGUGAAAUGCGUAGAUAUCACUUGGAACGCCAAUGGUGAAGACAGCUCGCUGGGGGUGUCCUGACGCUGAGGCGCGAAAGCCAGGGGAGCGAACGGG